GUUAUUGUAGCUUAUUACAUAAAGCAUGGCACUGAAGUUGCCAAGACGGAUAUUACACAAUCCCAAAAACA
Molecule: transfer RNA, 71 nt
Filed under: Carettochelys insculpta (pitted-shelled turtle)
Lineage: Eukaryota; Metazoa; Chordata; Testudines; Carettochelyidae
Description: tRNA-Phe
Rfam family: tRNA
About the family: Transfer RNA (tRNA) molecules are approximately 80 nucleotides in length. Their secondary structure includes four short double-helical elements and three loops (D, anti-codon, and T loops). Further hydrogen bonds mediate the characteristic L-shaped molecular structure. tRNAs have two regions of fundamental functional importance: the anti-codon, which is responsible for specific mRNA codon recognition, and the 3' end, to which the tRNAs corresponding amino acid is attached (by aminoacyl-tRNA synthetases). tRNAs cope with the degeneracy of the genetic code in two manners: having more than one tRNA (with a specific anti-codon) for a particular amino acid; and 'wobble' base-pairing, i.e. permitting non-standard base-pairing at the 3rd anti-codon position.
Source: RNAcentral